AUGGCUGUCGUCAGCUCGUGUCGUGAGAUGUUGGGUUAAGUCCCGUAACGAGCGCAACCCUUGUCCUUAUUUGCCAGCAUUUAGUUGGGAACUCUAGGGAGACUGCCGGUGACAAACCGGAGGAAGGUGGGGACGACGUCAAGUCAUCAUGGCCCUUACGACCAGGGCUACACACGUGCUACAAUGGAGCGUACAGAGGGUCGCGACCCUGCGAAGGUGAGCUAAUCCCAGAAAACGUUUCGUAGUCCGGAUUGCAGUCUGCAACUCGACUGCAUGAAGUCGGAAUCGCUAGUAAUCGCGAAUCAGCAUGUCGCGGUGAAUACGUUCCCGGGCCUUGUACACACCGCCCGUCACACCAUGGGAGUGGGUUGCAAAAGAAGUGGGUAGUCUAACUUCGGAGGACGCUCACCACUUUGUGAUUCAUGACUGGGGUGAAGUCGUAACAAGGUAGCCGUAGGGGAACCUGCGGCUGGAUCACCUCCUUAACGAGAUUCCCUAUCUCUUCAGUAAGUGCUCACCUCUAUUGCUUGAACCGCUCUUUGAGAACAAUUAGGGAGACCUGCCCCUUCGUUCGAUUUUCUUUCAGUAACCCUGUUGAGAAUCUGCGGUAUUCGUUUCUUUAACGAAUUGUUCUAAACGGAGCCGGGUCUGUAGCUCAGUUGGUUAGAGCGCACCCCUGAUAAGGGUGAGGUCGGUGGUUCAAAUCCACCCAGACCCACCAGCAUUAAUUGGACUCAUGUCUAAUUAAUUUGUUCUUUAACAAUUAGGUGAAUGAAGACAUAUGUAUGUUUGUUAGAUGUCUUUGCCCAUGGUGUUUGUGAUGAUCAUCGUGGCGAAAAGGCAUCACCCAAAUGUGUGUAUGCUGUAAUUUAACAAGUUAUACAAGUGCAAAAUCUGUACGGAAGUCGUUAAGAGUUGUGUAGUUUUCUAUGUGAUUAUGGUCCUGGAUUUAUACAAAAGCGGGGCGUUGAUUCUGCAGAAUUUAUGGAAAAGGGGUUUUACUCUCUAUCCUAAAAUAGAAUUCAUGAUUAUGUGGUCAAGCAACUAAGCGUACGUGGUGGAUGCCUUGGCAGCUAGAGGCGAUGAAGGACGUGGUAGGCUACGAAAAGCCUCGGGGAGCCGUCAAACAGGCUUUGAUCCGGGGGUGUCCGAAUGGGGAAACCCGG
Molecule: small RNA, 1166 nt
Filed under: uncultured bacterium
Lineage: Bacteria
Description: bacterial SSU rRNA
Rfam family: Bacterial small subunit ribosomal RNA (bases 1-485)
Source: RNAcentral